GAUGUCGGAAGUCCUCUCGAAAUUACGCUUCCAACUACAGGAGCAAAAAAGAUGCUAAUCCAGAUGUCACCAGGCAAAGAUAGAGUCCUUGCUUUGUCGAAGGUUGAUUUUUCUAGUAUUGAUUUUAGCCCUGUGUUUAUGGGUGCUCCUGAUCUCUCUAGUGCUACCUUAAGCUUUCCAAA
RNAcentral lists this non-coding RNA (182 nucleotides) under Chaetoceros cf. neogracilis. Lineage: Eukaryota; Bacillariophyta; Thalassiosirophyceae; Chaetocerotales; Chaetocerotaceae. The record is from RNAcentral.